AACAUCCAGAUCUCAGCUGUGUUGACUCAGCUACAAUCAGCUUUCAGGAACUGAUUGAGUUUAAAUGAGUGAAUGAAGGCAGAAGCGCCCAGAAAGAAGGUCAGGAUGACAGCACAUAAGUGUAGAAAAGUCACAUGAGUUGCCUAAGGUCAGAGGCUUAGAAAGAAGUAGGGCCAGGACUGAGUUCCAGAAUUCCUGGACUGCAAGUCAUCAUACUGCACUGGAAAGAUAUUCGACCUUCAAUGUCCAGUCUUCCCAACCUCCAGCAAGCAGGAAAUGAACAGGAUCUCAUCAAAGUGUUUGAAAUGAACAAACGUCACCACAGCCAAGAUGUCCACUUUCUGGGAAGGAACAAAACCUGCAUAUUCCUAAGGCUUGAUUAGUUUCAUUGUUGUAUUUCAACUGAGAAACGCAUCCCAUGCAUACAUAUCUGGCUUGUAUGGUUCUUAUUUUUUUCUCCAUAUUUAUCUUUGCUCCUCUGUUCCAGGGUUAUGGGUUAAAACUAUCUGUUCACAUUGGUAUGAGUUGAGGGUCCAGGACUCCCAAAACCUCAGUUGUCAUUUCUAUAUUUCAAAUAACCUUGCAUCAUGUCCAGAAAUUUUAGACAACUUCCUAUGUGGUUCUUUCUCCUUCCUUUCAAUUAAGCUCUAAUAGGAAAAUCUUUAAUUUUUUUCAGGUGUCAAAAAUUAAGAACAUCGUCUACGUUUCAGGGGAUUUAGAGUUCAGGAUGAAAUGUAGGGAAAAUAUCCUGUGGUGGUUUUGUUUCCUACUGAUUUUCACUUAUGUCCUUUAUUUAAAGUGUGUGAACAUCUGCUUUCUUUUCUUACUUGCUGUAUGUGGCAUGUAUAUGCGAGGAAAAAUCCCAACUCAAAUUUUAAGGAGAUCUUCCUCAGCUCUAGCCUUUCCUAAACCACUUCAGCACUCAGAAUAGUUAUUUCCCUUUGUAUAUUCUGAACACCCC
RNAcentral lists this long non-coding RNA (961 nucleotides) under Heterocephalus glaber (naked mole-rat). RNAcentral's name for it is "lncRNA (ENSHGLG00000033469.1)". Lineage: Eukaryota; Metazoa; Chordata; Mammalia; Rodentia; Bathyergidae. The record is from RNAcentral.